Molecule: small RNA, 71 nt
Filed under: Klebsiella michiganensis
Lineage: Bacteria; Pseudomonadati; Pseudomonadota; Gammaproteobacteria; Enterobacterales; Enterobacteriaceae
Description: Salmonella enterica sRNA STnc40
Rfam family: Salmonella enterica sRNA STnc40
Source: RNAcentral
CAGUGCCACGGUCGCCUGAGCUAAGCUUUUACAAUAUUGAAUACCAGGGCGCAGAUAUCUGCGCCUUUUUU